AAGAACUGCGCAUGUGCACCGACAUGCGUAUUUAGUUACGGUGGACUUGGGGUGGAUGGCUGUCAUGGUUGUCCAACUAAAUCCACAUUUCGAAUUUCGACUCCUGAAGGAAUAUUCUAGAUCUGGCCAGAAGGAGCCAGAAAGAAAGGUGCAUUCAACCUUAAGCAAUAAACCAGAUAAUCAGCAGAUGAUUGAAGAAACGCCACCCUAUGAGAGGAGGUGUGGAAAAAAUUGCAAGAGCGACCCAGGGUUUAAUGUACAAGAGAGUGAACCAGAAAAACACCGACAUUAUGAAGAGAUUGUAUCAGAAGCUGGGACACUUGACACUUGGUGUACAGCACAGUGGAAUAAGGAACUACCGACAAAAACAAGAUACUGAAGAUAUUGUAUCACAAGCUGGGACACUUGAUGUCUUAAUGGGACAUUUAAAGAACGUUUUGGAGUCAUAUAUUAUGAAAUUAGGUAUACCUUUCAGAAGGUAUAAUGUUACUUUGCCAAUUUUUUGUUCAUUUCUUAAAGAUGAAAAAAAUAUGUCUAUAGCAGAAGAUUUGAUGUUGAUGAUACAGACUGAGUCACUAACUGUUGAUAAACCCGUUGAAUGUAUGCAGUCAUAUAUUCAAGUAUGGCCUGCAAAGAAAAAAAUGCGUUGUUUUCGAUCCUUGGCUGUCCACAAAGGGCACAGAGAGGUUCUUUAACACCAACCCACUGGCAGGGGAAGGGCAUCUGCCUCUUGAUAUAAAAACACUGAGUACAUUUCUGGCUAAAAUGAAGCAAGUCUGUUUAGUAUUUGACGAAAAUGAUAAAAAUAUUGCUAGAAUUCGUGAAUAUCUUGAAAGUGUUUUAGGUAGCACUGUGAUAGACAUCUAUCAUUCAUUUGAUGCUGGUAAAACAGAAAUUGAAAAUAUUGAAAAGUGUAUUUCGACAUCAGAAUAUUUUAUAUUUAUACCGACAAGAGGUGAGACGUCAUGCAUUUUAAAAUAUGCAUUAAACUUAAUUGUGUCGGAAUUGUUUCAUUCUUCAGGUCAGAACAAUAUCCUAACUUUAACAGAUUCAACACAAAAUACUUGCAGUAUACCGCCGCUCUUGUGGCCAUUUCCAAUAUUCAUUUGCAAUUUUGACCACAAUUGGUGUAGGUGUAUUUGGCCAGUUGUUAAUGAAACUGAUCCAGUGAUAAAUACAAAUGUUAAAAUGUCCAAUUUUACAAACAGAAUUAGUUGUAUAUUCAAGACAUUGAAGUCUGUUCGCAUAAUUUCAGACGAUAUUGAAGAAGGGGAAUUGAUAAAAACAUCCAUUAUAUUACAAUCUCCCACUACCAAGGUCACAGUCAAUGACGACGAUGUACCUUGCGGGGCGUUACUGUUUUAUGAAUAUGCGGCGAAAUUAUGUGAAGAUCAAUUGUUUGUUAUCGUCCCAUCUCGCGAGAGGUCGUGCGAGUCAGAAUAUGCCUUACGAGUUAUUUUUAGCAGGCUUAACAAAGAACUCGACACCUUACGAAUACAAUGCGCAGAAACCAUUACGGCUAUUGACUGUUGUACUCAGUCGUACACUAGAUCAUUUCAUUUCAGAUAAUGUCUAUCAAACAUAUUGAUAGAUAGUAAGAUAGAUUAAAGAUAUUUAUAUGCGGUUGUCCCUUGGACACUUAUGCUGUAUAAGACAUACGAAAA
Molecule: unclassified non-coding RNA, 1664 nt
Filed under: Haliotis rubra (blacklip abalone)
Lineage: Eukaryota; Metazoa; Mollusca; Gastropoda; Lepetellida; Haliotidae
Description: uncharacterized LOC124292250, transcript variant X1
Source: RNAcentral